Molecule: ribosomal RNA, 570 nt
Filed under: uncultured bacterium
Lineage: Bacteria
Description: partial 16S ribosomal RNA
Rfam family: Bacterial small subunit ribosomal RNA
Source: RNAcentral
UGGGGAAUUUUGGACAAUGGGCGAAAGCCUGAUCCAGCAAUGCCGCGUGUGUGAAGAAGGCCUUCGGGUUGUAAAGCACUUUUGUCCGGAAAGAAAUCCUUGGCUCUAAUACAGUCGGGGGAUGACGGUACCGGAAGAAUAAGCACCGGCUAACUACGUGCCAGCAGCCGCGGUAAUACGUAGGGUGCAAGCGUUAAUCGGAAUUACUGGGCGUAAAGCGUGCGCAGGCGGUUUGCUAAGACCGAUGUGAAAUCCCCGGGCUCAACCUGGGAACUGCAUUGGUGACUGGCAGGCUAGAGUAUGGCAAAGGGGGGUAGAAUUCCACGUGUAGCAGUGAAAUGCGUAGAGAUGUGGAGGAAUACCGAUGGCGAAGGCAGCCCCUGGGCCAAUACUGACGCUCAUGCACGAAAGCGCGGGGAGCAAACAGGAUUAGAUACCCUGGUAGUCCACGCCCUAAACGAUGUCAACUAGUUGUGGGGAUUCAUUUCCUUAGUAACGUAGCUAACGCGUGAAGUUGACCGCCUGGGGAGUACGGUCGCAAGAUUAAAACUUAAAUGAAUUGACGGGGUC